GUCGGGCUGUGCCCUGUGUCUGGCUGUGCCCUGUGUCUGGCUGUGCCCUGUGUCUGGCUGUGCUCUGUGUCGGGCUGUGCUCUGUGUCGGGCUGUGCCCUGUGUCUGGCUGUGCUCUGUUCUGGCUGUGCUCUGUGUCGGGCUGUGCCCUGUGUCUGGCUGUGCUCUGUGUCGGGCUUCUGGCUGUGCUCUGUGUCUGGCUGUGCCCUGUGUCUGGCUGUGCUCUGUGCUCUGCGUCUGGCUGUGCUCUGCGUCUGGCUGUGCUCUGCGUCUGGCUGUGCUCUGAGUCCGGCUGUGCUCUGCGUCUGGCUGUGCUCUGAGUCCGGCUGUGCUCUGAGUCUGGCUCCGGCUGUGUUAAUUACAAACAAGUACGAAAAUGUUUUACCUACUGCA
Long non-coding RNA from Oncorhynchus tshawytscha (Chinook salmon), 392 nucleotides. The record is from Ensembl. NCBI's taxonomy places the organism in Eukaryota, Metazoa, Chordata, Actinopteri, Salmoniformes, Salmonidae.